UCCAGGUGGACUUGAUGACUUUGUACUCACUCAUACAGUCCCAGAACCUCUAAUCUUCAGUUCAUUGGCGCGUGCACCCAAUGGAACCCUUAUUCAGUCCUUCACAACAAACCAGUUCUUAAGAAUUUCUAACAUCGGGAGACGUGUCUUCAUUAAUAAUGCGCAUAUUGUGACAAGAAAUGUGUGUUCAAGUGAUACGAUAAAGUGCCAUGGAAUCAGCGCAGUCAUUAACACUUCGUUGAAUCAGACAGUUAGCUAGUGAAUGUUGUCAGUCUUGUUAAAAUCUAUUAACUGAUUAUCAAUAAAAAUUUAAGAUGACUACUUGUACAAUUUUUUUCUGAUGGAAUUUUUUGCAAUCUAUAAAAUAUCGCAAUUAUUACAAAAUACACAGUUCUUGAAAUCACGGCACAGUAUAUGCAAAAGAAAAGAUCAAGUCUGACAUUUUUAUGUUUAACGGUUCCAGAAUACAUCAAGCUCGAAUGCAGCUCAAAUGAUCAAUAUAAAAAGUAAACUUACGAUUUCAACAUUGUAAUCGAGUUUGCAACAAAAUAUUUCAUUAUCAGGGUCAGAUAGAGUUGUGAGAAAUCGGAACUCAUAUUACUAUUGUACGUGCAACAUUGCAGUAUCACAUUAUGAUAGCAAGAAGUAGAGUUCAACCCUACUGAUUUGUAGUUAAAUUGCUGUUUUCAUAUAGCUUAAUAAUCAAACAAGACAUAAAUGUACCUGAUGAGAUGAUGUAAAGGCCUACAAUCAACUUGUUCAUGCAUCAGAAUAGUUGAACCCUUCCUAAUCUUCUGCCGCUGAUUCUUCAAGAUGCUAACAUUUAUAUAACCAAGUACACAGCAUAUAUGGACCUCAGACUUGAAAAGAGAUCGACUUCUCUGUAGGCUAUAGCUUAGGCUAAAAGGCGGGUAACGUUCUGACACAGAUUG
Molecule: long non-coding RNA, 932 nt
Filed under: Aquilegia coerulea
Lineage: Eukaryota; Viridiplantae; Streptophyta; Magnoliopsida; Ranunculales; Ranunculaceae
Description: long non-coding RNA (ACOE_LNC002287)
Source: RNAcentral